RNAcentral lists this ribosomal RNA (467 nucleotides) under uncultured bacterium. Its description in RNAcentral is "partial 16S ribosomal RNA". It matches the Rfam family "Bacterial small subunit ribosomal RNA", at positions 28 to 506 of the family's 1533-position model. The record is from RNAcentral.
GACGAACGCUGGCGGCGUGCUUAACACAUGCAAGUCGAACGGAAAGGCCCUGCUUUUGUGGGGUGCUCGAGUGUCGAACGGGUGAGUAACACGUGAGUAACCUGCCCUUGACUUUGGGAUAACUUCAGUAAACUGGGGCUAAUACCGGAUAGGAGCUCCUGCUGCAUGGUGGGGGUUGGAAAGUUUCGGCGGUUGGGGAUGGACUCGCGGCUUAUCAGCUUGUUGGUGGGGUAUUGGCUUACCAAGGCUUUGACGGGUAGCCGGCCUGAGAGGGUGACCGGAGACAUUGGGACUGAGAGACGGCCCAGACUCCUACGGGAGGCAGCAGUGGGGAAUAUUGCACAAUGGGCGGAAGCGUGAUGCAGAAAAGCCGCGUGCGGGAUGACGGCCUUCGGGUUGUAAACCGCUUUCGCCUGUGACGAAGAGUGAGUGACGGUAAUGGGUAAAGAAGCACCGGCUAACUACGU